This is a non-coding RNA of Paramisgurnus dabryanus, 288 nucleotides long. The record is from RefSeq and is a predicted model, not a curated record. NCBI's taxonomy places the organism in Eukaryota, Metazoa, Chordata, Actinopteri, Cypriniformes, Cobitidae.
CAACCAAACAGUCAUUCAAGACCUUUUAAAGCGCAAGUUUGAAUCUCUCUCAGUCAGGGGGGAGAUUGACUGACAGACUGUCUACUCGCCACCAAACAGUAAUCUACACAGAAACCUUUUAAAGUUUAGCACAAACGUUUCCCGCGCAAAUUUGGAUCUUUACCAUUGAGGGUGGCUGACUGUUUUCGACCAACCAUCAUUCACACACAAAAACUUUAAAGGUACCACAUUUAUUUAUGUUGUGAGUAUACCACAGUUCUGUCAGUGGAAAAUGUAUUCAUAUUUUUG